This 497-nucleotide ribosomal RNA is filed under the name uncultured bacterium. RNAcentral describes it as "partial 16S ribosomal RNA". It matches the Rfam family "Bacterial small subunit ribosomal RNA", at positions 28 to 507 of the family's 1533-position model. The record is from RNAcentral.
GAUGAACGCUGGCGGCGUGCCUAAUACAUGCAAGUCGAGCGAACGGACGAGAAGCUUGCUUCUCUGACGUUAGCGGCGGACGGGUGAGUAACACGUGGAUAACCUACCUAUAAGACUGGGAUAACUUCGGGAAACCGGAGCUAAUACCGGAUAAUAUCUUGAACCGCAUGGUUCAAAAGUGAAAGACGGUCUUGCUGUCACUUAUAGAUGGAUCCGCGCUGCAUUAGCUAGUUGGUAAGGUAACGGCUUACCAAGGCAACGAUGCAUAGCCGACCUGAGAGGGUGAUCGGCCACACUGGAACUGAGACACGGUCCAGACUCCUACGGGAGGCAGCAGUAGGGAAUCUUCCGCAAUGGGCGAAAGCCUGACGGAGCAACGCCGCGUGAGUGAUGAAGUUCUUCGGAUCGUAAAACUCUGUUAUUAGGGAAGAACAUAUGUGUAAGUAACUGUGCACAUCUUGACGGUACCUAAUCAGAAAGCCACGGCUAACUACGUG